This 494-nucleotide long non-coding RNA is filed under the name Ananas comosus (pineapple). RNAcentral's name for it is "long non-coding RNA (ACOM_LNC040333)". Lineage: Eukaryota; Viridiplantae; Streptophyta; Magnoliopsida; Poales; Bromeliaceae. The record is from RNAcentral.
GAAGCUAUAGAUAAGGAACAAGUAAAUGAUAACAUCGUAAUCAAUAAUUUGUGCAAAUACUGGGUUAAAAUUGCGCAAAAAACAAAUUCGAUUAGCUACAUGAAAGAUACUAAGCAAAACAAAAGAAGAAAAAGAGGUUAAAUUACAGCUAAAUCUUACUAAAGGAGCCACCUUUAUCGAAGAUGAAGAGAAGAAGCAAGGAAAUGGCAACAUGGUAAUCAUUAUUUAGUAAAGAUAUUGCAAAGGAGCGGAGAAUGAUUAGAGAGGAACCAAAUUUGACUCAAAACCAUAAACUCGCACUCAAAAAAGGAGCUAGCGAGAGAAGCGAACACAGCAUUAUAUAUAUAAAACCACAAAAAGGGGGAAAAUUGAAAUAGUGGAGAUUAGUGGAGACCGAGAGAGAGAAAGAGAGAGAAAGCGCCAUGAGAGGGGCUUAAAGAGGAGGAGGAAGAGAAGAGUAGGUACGUCUCCGGCGAGGAGGGAUCGGGGGCGUC